UUGACCUCCAUGACUCAUCCUAUUAACAAUGAGAUCCUUUAUAGAAAUGAAGAAAAGAGAUACAUCCCCCAUCAUGCAUUACUGUGUUAUUUCUAUUCACGCACAUCCAAAGAAGAGAUGCUGGCAGGCAGGAACAAGGCCGGAAACUGAAAUUCCCAAUAUGUCUGCUAUCUUUUCGGGAGGUAUAGGCCAACACGACUUACAGAUUGUCUUUGGAUUUUAUUAAUUGUCAUAGCAAAGCAUGGGACCAACGGUAUUCGAUGUUGAUUAAGCUUGAAUGGUAAUUUUGAUUCGUUGGGCGACAUUAUUAUUCUUGAAAUAGUGACAUUUUUUCCUUUAUUAGUUCCUGAAAUAAUGUCACCUCUAACAGACCAUGUUCCAAGUAACGUGACAAUCAAUCGUGUUCCAUUGCACAAUCCUUCUA
This is a long non-coding RNA of Cynara cardunculus var. scolymus (artichoke), 424 nucleotides long. RefSeq lists it as uncharacterized. The record is from RefSeq and is a predicted model, not a curated record. NCBI's taxonomy places the organism in Eukaryota, Viridiplantae, Streptophyta, Magnoliopsida, Asterales, Asteraceae. The transcript has 2 exons.